Molecule: non-coding RNA, 146 nt
Filed under: unclassified sequences
Description: RT-3 RNA
Rfam family: RT-3 RNA
Source: Rfam by way of RNAcentral
AGUUGGCCUACUGCACAGGAACGGGUUUCCCCUCGCAGCGCCAAGGGGGAUGAGCCUCGCCAGCAGCGGCCAAGGCCGGAAAGGCGAAAUACACAGCGUCGGGUAGAGUUUGGUAGGGUCCUCGGAUCUCGAAGAAGUCAGGCCCA